GCUUGAACUGCUAAAGUGUCAGACAAGCUUUUAACCAGUACGACAAUAAUCGAAACACCAUGAACCGUAAACUUGUUGCAAUUUUUUUCCUAUUAUGUGCCGUUCAGAGUUCACUCGGUGGGGGCGAUGGUCACCAUGGAGACUACAUGAAAUGUAGCGGUGGGACUGUACAAUGCUGUAAUGGCCUGAAGAAAAAGAAUAUCGUUCAAGUACUGCUACAAGCGUUAGGCCUUGCAAACGCAGGCCUAUUCGAUAUCGUUGGUGAUGUUGAUGUAACUUGCACCCCGGUCGCAGUGGGAGUACAGGGAGGCGCUGUUAGCGGUCAAAGUUGUACUGGUCAAACUCUGUGCUGCUCGGAUAAUAAAGUGAAUGGAUUUAUUGCGACUGGCUGUAUUCCUUUCAAUGUAAAUGCAGGCUAAAUGCGGUCAGAAUGCUAAUUUUGCCUAAAAAGUAUAGGACGAAAAUAAAUGGAAAUUUUGAUGGUU
This is a long non-coding RNA of Bradysia coprophila, 485 nucleotides long. RefSeq lists it as uncharacterized. NCBI's taxonomy places the organism in Eukaryota, Metazoa, Arthropoda, Insecta, Diptera, Sciaridae. The record is from RefSeq and is a predicted model, not a curated record.